This 253-nucleotide ribosomal RNA is filed under the name uncultured bacterium. RNAcentral's name for it is "partial 16S ribosomal RNA". It matches the Rfam family "Bacterial small subunit ribosomal RNA", at positions 524 to 776 of the family's 1533-position model. The record is from RNAcentral.
UACGGGGGGGGCAAGCGUUGUUCGGAAUUACUGGGCGUAAAGGGCGCGUAGGCGGCUUUCUAAGUCAGACGUGAAAUCCCCAGGCUUAACUUGGGAACUGCGUCUGAUACUGGGAGGCUUGAGUGCGGGAGAGGGAUGUGGAAUUCCAGGUGUAGCGGUGAAAUGCGUAGAUAUCUGGAGGAACACCGGUGGCGAAGGCGGCAUCCUGGACCGACACUGACGCUGAGGCGCGAAAGCUAGGGGAGCAAACGGG